Pan troglodytes (chimpanzee) is the source of this 3001-nucleotide long non-coding RNA. RefSeq lists it as uncharacterized. The transcript is spliced from 7 exons. Lineage: Eukaryota; Metazoa; Chordata; Mammalia; Primates; Hominidae. The record is from RefSeq and is a predicted model, not a curated record.
CACACACACAGCACAGAUUUUUUUGAUUAUGUAGAUUUCUUUUCCUACUGCAGUUUCAUAUGCAAAGCAUGCAUCAGCCACAUCCAUGCUAUCUCCUAAAGCAGUCAUUCUGAAACCCAAUCUGGGGACAGUGCAGACUAAAUAAAAUUUCAUUUUGAUUUGGCCUCCCGCUGCGAAUGGGACUGCUUUGUCUCAGCCGACAGAACCAGCAAGCCAGAAAGAUUGAAGAACAAAAUGAAAGUUAGUUAAAGAAGACGUUGAAGAAACAAUAGUGUGAAAACAGCACGAAAUGUCAUUUGGUAAAUAUGCCACAGCCUCACAUAAGGAAGAGGAAAAUGGCAGUGUGGGCCAUGAUUGGCAGGUCUGGAUCCAUAGACUGAUUUCCAGGAUCACCCAACAGGAAUGAAGACAUUUGGAGAAGAAGCGUUUACUGAAAGGAGAUUCCUGGGCUGGAGGAAAACCAUGAUCUACAGUUCAUGUUGACAGAUAUUGUAUUUUUGGUCCUAGAUCUGACUUUUGAAAUGACUUAUCACAAAUUCAAAUUUAGCAAUCAUGAGUGAAGUACCCACGACGUGCUAAGCAUCUACCUCUGCAGAUAGAAGAACACUUACCGUUCCUGAGCAUGGGAGGGAACUUCUGUUCCUGGGUCCUGGCCUCACCUCAUCAGGCACUGCCAAAUUUGACACCUCCUUCCUGUUCACGGCAGUCCUUUGGGAUGGGGUAUUAGAUGCCACCAAAUAGCUGCAUAACUCACCCACUUUGUCAGAGCCUGGGUCUAAGCCAGGUCUGACAGACUCCAAAGCAAGCCCUGUUUACAGCAUGACUGGGAUCCAGUGGGUAAGACCAACCUGUCAAUGCCCAAGUGCAGAUGCAAUAAUAGUGCUUCAACUGAUUGUUGCAAACUCCUCAUGAAGGAUGCCAAAUCCCAGUGCAGAUGGUAACACAGGCUACUUUUCACCUCCAACCUCUAAUAUCCUUUCUUUCUUUCUUUCCUUUUUUUUUUUUUUUUUUUUUUUUUUGAGAUAGAGUCUCCUCUAUCACCCAGGCUGGAGUGCAACAGCGCGAUCCCAGCUCACUGCAACCUCCACCUCCUGGGUUCAAGCAAUUCUCUCGCCUCAGCCUCCCGAGUAGCUGGGAUUACAGGCACCCGCCAUCAUGUCCAGCUAAUUUUUGUAUAUUUGUAGAGACGGGGUUUCACCAUGUUGGCCAGGCUGGUCUUGAACUCCUGACCUCAGGUGAUCUGCCCGCCUCAGCCUCCCAAAGUGCUAGGAUUACAAGUGUGAGCCACCACGCCCGGCCCCAAUAUUCUUUCUUACUAGACACUGUGUAAGCUAAUUAUUCAGCAAGUAUUUUGCACUGAACUCUAAAUAGGUAAGUAUUUUGUGUCCAUUUUACAGACAAGAGAAAUAAAAUAGAUAAAGUAUUUCCCCAAAGCUAUGAUAAAUGAAUCCCAUAGCUAGAAAUGGCAGAAAACCCAUGGAAACUUCUAUGGGGAGUGGAUGUCUGCCUUACCUUGGCACAAUGCUUGGUUCUCAGAUAUCAUUUCAGUGACAUUGCCAAAUGGGAGAAACCAUGUCUGGUACAUGGGACUCAAGCUGCCUCAAAAUAUCCUGAAUGCAUUUUUUCAGGGGAGAAAAUCCAUUUGAAUAAGAAUAGCUAGUUAUAGCUUAUUAUGUGCCAGACACUAUUCAAAGUGUUUAAUGUGUAUUAACUUCUCAAAACCACUCUAUAAGUUAGGUACUAUGAUUUCCAUCUCCAUUUUACAGAUGAGGGAACUGAGCUGUCAAAACUAAGUGACUUGAUUGAGGCCAUGCAGCUGGCGAGGGGAGGACCAGGAUCUGAACCCAACUGGGUCUCCCAAGCCUGGGCCACUGAACCAUUUCACCUCUUGGAAAAACUUAAUGGUCAGAGUGGCCCACCCAGUCCAUGGACAGCAUGGAGCAGUAUGGUGGAAGAGGAAGGAAGAAAACCUGUGUAUUGUAAGUCAUAUUCUUCUAUGGCGUGAAGGUUAACGUAAGUUUUAAGAAAGUUUUUUUUUAAAUUUUAUUUUAUGAUCUUGCUCUAAAGGGAUGUAAAUUCAGAUGCUGAAUUGCACACAUUCUUUCUCUUUCAUAUUUUCAAUAUUGAACGUAAUUUCAAUAUUUAACAUAAAACAACGAGUACAUUGUCUCCACCUCAUUGUUUUUGGGUGGUGUUUGUGGGGAGCCUGCGUUCUUUGGAAGGAAGACCUUUCAGAUGACCUGACCAGUCCUCCUCUUCAGAACCCGGAUGCUGGCGAAGCAGUUUGAAUUUUAUGCUUGUGAAAGGGCUCCGUUGAUGAUUUUGAUGUCUGCAGCUUUCCACCCGUAUGACCAGACACAUUCUCACCAGCUCCAUAUAUCAAGAUAAGGAGGGGAAACCUGGUAGCUUUUCCUUCUGUUAACUGCUGGCAUCAGCUGAGUGAUGCAGACAUUUCUCUAUUAAGAACUGAGCUGAGACUGAAGCUUCAUUUUGUAUGAGACUCUGCAGAGGUCAUCUAAAGUCUCUCCCAGACUACUCCCAACACAGGCCACCUGUCUUGAAGAUGUGUAUCUAUAGUCAGAGGGAGGAGCCAUGUGCAAGCGUUUGGCUGGAUCACUACAAAUCUAUCAUGACUCUGGGAAAUCAACCGCUGUAUGAGAUCCCGGCGAUUGAUGAAGGAACUCGCCUUCACUUAAAAGGGACAGCAAGCAUAAUUCUCAAUGCACACAUGGUCUCAAUGGAGUGGAUUUUCAUGGACUGACUCAAGGUAUACUGCUCUAAAUCCUACUGUAAGGCUUCCUCAUCAAGUUACCUACCUUCUAAUUGAGUCUCCUCAUCAGCUGAAAUGUUUACUCACAUGGAGUUAAUGACAGUGUCUGCAUUAGAGGAUUUGGUCAAGAUCAAAUUAGAUAUUGCAAUGGAGUGCUGAGGACAACAGCUGGCAUGCUUAAAAUGCUUGCUAAAUGUGUACAAGUGCACAAGUUCUGUUUUAUUAAUAAAA